CAAUAGCGUAUAUUAAAGUUGUUGCAGUUAAAAAGCUCGUAGUUGGAUUUCUGGUUUGAUGCCCUGGCCCGCUUCAAUUUCGAAGUGAGUGCCGGCUGUGCGUCUACCAUCCUUCUAGAAAACGUUCCUACCCUUCACUGGGCCGGGUUCGCGAUCUAGAUCUUUUACUUUUGAAAAAAUUAGAGUGUUUAAAGCAGGCUUUUGCUAUGAAUACAUUAGCAUGGAAUAAUAAUCUAGGACUUCGGUUCUAUUUUGUGGUUUCUAGUACUGAAGUAAUGAUUGAUAGGGAUAGUUGGGGGUGCUAGUAUUGGGCGGCCAGAGGUGAAAUUUCUUGGAUUCGCUCAAGACUAACUUAUGCGAAAGCAUUCACCAAGGAUGUCUUCUUUAAUCAAGAACGAAAGUUGGGGAUCGAAGAUGAUUAGAUACCA
This 428-nucleotide ribosomal RNA is filed under the name uncultured eukaryote. Its description in RNAcentral is "SSU rRNA". It matches the Rfam family "Eukaryotic small subunit ribosomal RNA", at positions 592 to 1017 of the family's 1831-position model. The record is from RNAcentral.